This 496-nucleotide long non-coding RNA is filed under the name Mus pahari (shrew mouse). RNAcentral describes it as "lncRNA (MGP_PahariEiJ_G0006163.1)". Lineage: Eukaryota; Metazoa; Chordata; Mammalia; Rodentia; Muridae. The record is from RNAcentral.
CACUUUGCCCAGUGCUUAUAGCAUAUCACCUAUUCUAUGGGUCUCCUCAAGAACUGUGUUCCAGAAUUCCCUGGGAACAUGUCCUCUUCGGCAGACGGUGUUCACAUCUUACUAUCUUAUAGCACUCUUCCUGUGAGGCUCCUCACAUCCCUAUAAGAAGAGCAGCAUUUCCCUUGUGUGAAAUGUACAGGUGAGCUCUACGCUUUAGUCAGCUUCCUGUUCACCGGGAGUAUCUAAAGCAGGCGUUCUCAGGCUGCGGGUCGAGACCCUCGGAGGGGUCUCAUAUCAGAGAUCCCGCACAUCAGAGAUCCCGCACAUCAGAGAUCCCGCACAUCAGAGGUCCCGCACAUCAGAGGUCCCGCACAUCAGAGGUCCCGCACAUCAGGUAUUAUGGUUGAUGCUUACCACAAUGCCAAAGGAACUGUAUUAAAGGUUGCGGCAUUAGGAAAGUUAAAAGCCACUGAAAAAAGGCAAAUGUCUGAACAAGAAUUGUUUU